CACCUGAGUAGCCAAGCAAAUAAUACUAUCCAUGAAUUAUUUACCAAGUUUUACAAAAUAGAUAAACGUGAAACGUUCAAUACAUCAGUGUUUCCAAGUUACUUGAAAUUUUUGAUAUCAUAAGAAACUUUUAUAUAAAUAAUUUUUUUUAUAAAAAGUUGAGUGAGAAUGUAUUUUAAAAUAAUAUUUGUCCUGAUUGCAUUGACUGGAAUUUUUCAAGACGUUUACUGUGGAGAACCAACAAAUAAAAUGGAAGUAGGCGUCUAUAAUCUGAUGAAAAAUAAACUAAAAGAUAUGAUUUAUUCGAGUGAAACAAAUUUUGGAGACGAAAAGCGACUUCAAAAGAAAGAAGUGAUUUCUGAAGAUGUAAUUCCGAAGUCUAAAAUAGAAAUUAAGAAGUAGACGUAUUAAAUUACAUUUUUCAAUACAAUAAUAACCUUUAUCUUUUGUCACUAUUCAACAAAUGCCACUUCCGAAUAAAUAUUUCAUUAAAAUUUUUGAAAAAAUCAA
Molecule: long non-coding RNA, 510 nt
Organism: Daktulosphaira vitifoliae (grape phylloxera)
Lineage: Eukaryota; Metazoa; Arthropoda; Insecta; Hemiptera; Phylloxeridae
Exons: 2
Source: RefSeq, a predicted model, not a curated record